CUUCCAGUUUCCCUUUAUUCUUACAUGAUAAGUUGUAAAAAGGUUCUUUGCGUGUUUCCGUGAUUUUAUGCCGCACUUCUGCAUAAUUUCACAUAUGAUAAUGCAUAAAAAAGACAUCAUAGAGAUAAUCAAACACAAAAGUUGAAGAAAAUCUGGCAAUACAAAGGCAAAAAUUGAAAAAACGACGAAAAGACAAAACAACCGUCUAUGAUACAAAGCAUAAAACACCAAAUACUGAGCG
RNAcentral lists this long non-coding RNA (241 nucleotides) under Mytilus galloprovincialis (Mediterranean mussel). The record is from RNAcentral. Lineage: Eukaryota; Metazoa; Mollusca; Bivalvia; Mytilida; Mytilidae.